GAUGAACGCUAGCUACAGGCUUAACACAUGCAAGUCGAGGGGCAGCAUGAACAAAGCUUGCUUUGUUCGAUGGCGACCGGCGCACGGGUGAGUAACGCGUAUCCGACCUGCCCAUGACUCGGGCACAGCCGCUCGAAAGAGCGAUUGAUUCCCGAUAUGUCGUUAGAGUAGAUCUAAUGAUGAAAGAUUCAUCGGUCAUGGAUGGGGAUGCGUAGGAUUAGGUAGUAGGCGGGGUAACGGCCCACCUAGCCGACGAUCCUUAGGGGUUCUGAGAGGAAGGUCCCCCACACUGGUACUGAGACACGGACCAGACUCCUACGGGAGGCAGCAGUGAGGAAUAUUGGUCAAUGGGCGGAAGCCUGAGCCAGCCAAGUAGCGUGAAGGAUUACUGCCCUACGGGUUUUAAACUCUUUUAUGCGAGAGUAAUGUGCGCUACGUGUAGCGUAUUGCGAGUAUCGCAUGAAUAAGCAUCGG
Molecule: ribosomal RNA, 474 nt
Filed under: uncultured bacterium
Lineage: Bacteria
Description: bacterial SSU rRNA
Rfam family: Bacterial small subunit ribosomal RNA
Source: RNAcentral